This is a small nucleolar RNA of Humulus lupulus (European hop), 105 nucleotides long. NCBI's taxonomy places the organism in Eukaryota, Viridiplantae, Streptophyta, Magnoliopsida, Rosales, Cannabaceae. The record is from RefSeq and is a predicted model, not a curated record.
AUGCCAUGAUGAGGGCAUUUUCGCAACAACUCCUUGAGCCGCUCCCAUGCCAUAUAAAGGUUCUUCAUCAAGUUGCUGAAAUGAAGUAAUUUCAUUAUGGAGCUU